This is a long non-coding RNA of Mytilus trossulus (common blue mussel), 1068 nucleotides long. RefSeq lists it as uncharacterized. NCBI's taxonomy places the organism in Eukaryota, Metazoa, Mollusca, Bivalvia, Mytilida, Mytilidae. The record is from RefSeq and is a predicted model, not a curated record. The transcript is spliced from 3 exons.
UCUUCAUCCAAGUCUCAGUUUAUAAAAGAAACCCACUAUAGGUCAAAAUACGGUCUUUAAUACGGAUCCGUGGCUCACACCGAACAACAAGCUGUAAAAGGUCCAUUAAAACGGACAACUAUUAGAGAAGCUAAAAAAUUGGACGUCGAUUAGAGGAGCCAAGGAGCCAAAAAUUGGACCUCAAUUAGAGGGUGAUUGAAUUGGCCGCCGAUUUGAAAUAUUAUUUUAUUGUGACGUCAGCUUUGGACCUCGAUUUGCGGAACAACCGUCGGAAAAAGACUGAUGGUAGAUAAACAGAGUGGUGAUAUGUGUACAGAGUGAUGAAAGAUAUACAAAGUGGUGGUAGAUACACAGAGUGGUGAAUUACAUAUAAAGAUUCCCUCAAAAGCAGAACACCAUAUCCUGAACACUUGAAAACCAUGACACCAUUCAAAGAACCAAUGAAAAAACAAAAGAAACAACCAGACCCUAGCAACUGCAAGCUACUCCAAAGAGAAACUAUGUUAGUAAUAGAUAAGAAACGCAGCGCUCUGAGCUCAAUGUAUUUCUGAAAUGGUCAUUUGAUAUUUGCUUAGUCUUCAAAAAAAAAAUCAAGAUGAACAUUAAUGUUCAGCUAUGAAACUUUAAAUGCAGAUGACAAACUUUAAUUUAGUUUCAAGUACAAAUGUACUGUUAUUCUCCAAUUUGACAAUCAAGAUGUAUUGAAAACAGUAAAAUAUUUAGGGAAGUUGUUAAAUUACAAAACUGAAAUUUCAGUUUUAUCAUUUAAACGAGUGUAUCACCAAAAACUGCAUGAAUUGUUUUGAAAAUUUCAACCACCCGAAAGCACUAACAAUGCAAACAAGACAAUGUUUAAAAAUGUUUUAUAAAUAUCUGUUGAUCAUUUGAUCCAAGGACCUUAAACUGUUUUACAACCUAAUAAACCUCAUCCUAAGUUAUUUCAACUAUCACCCUUUCUGCAUUGAUCAAUUUGAUAAAGAAAUUAAAUAAAUGGGCGUUCCACUCUGGGUUAAUCUCCAACCUCUUUUUUAGCUUCAAAUGUUGUUGCAUAUAUAAGUAUGGAGAUUU